Molecule: ribosomal RNA, 482 nt
Filed under: uncultured bacterium
Lineage: Bacteria
Description: partial 16S ribosomal RNA
Rfam family: Bacterial small subunit ribosomal RNA
Source: RNAcentral
AUUGAACGCUGGCGGCAUGCUUUACACAUGCAAGUCGAACGGUAACAGGCCGCAAGGUGCUGACGAGUGGCGAACGGGUGAGUAAUGCAUCGGAACGUGCCCAGUCGUGGGGGAUAACUACUCGAAAGAGUAGCUAAUACCGCAUACGAUCUAUGGAUGAAAGCGGGGAACCGUAAGGCCUCGCGCGAUUGGAGCGGCCGAUGUCAGAUUAGGUAGUUGGUGGGGUAAAGGCUCACCAAGCCAACGAUCUGUAGCUGGUCUGAGAGGACGACCAGCCACACUGGGACUGAGACACGGCCCAGACUCCUACGGGAGGCAGCAGUGGGGAAUUUUGGACAAUGGGCGCAAGCCUGAUCCAGCAAUGCCGCGUGCAGGAAGAAGGCCUUCGGGUUGUAAACUGCUUUUGUACGGAACGAAACGGCUCUGGUUAAUACCCGGGGCUAAUGACGGUACCGUAAGAAUAAGCACCGGCUAACUACGUG